GAUUCAUUUCUAUUAGACAUUCCCAAUCUAAUGGAGAAGUCGAGGUCACCAACUGAACUAUCCUUCAAGGAUUGAAAAAGUGGUUAAAUCAAGGCAAAAGAUUUUGGGCAGAUGAGCUAUACAGUGUGCUACGAGCGUAUCGGACAACACCUUGAACACCAAUUGGUGAAAUAUCCUUCAAGCUAGCCUUUGGUAUAGAAGCUGUUAUCCUAGUUGAGAUCGAUUUACCAUCACU
Molecule: long non-coding RNA, 235 nt
Filed under: Elaeis guineensis (African oil palm)
Lineage: Eukaryota; Viridiplantae; Streptophyta; Magnoliopsida; Arecales; Arecaceae
Description: long non-coding RNA (EGUI_LNC056753)
Source: RNAcentral